CUGUGGAGUGUGCUACUCAGGCCUUAGAGAAAUACAACAUCGAGAAGGACAUUGCUGCUCACAUAAAGAAGGAGUUUGACAAGAAAUACAAUCCCACUUGGCACUGCAUCGUGGGAAGGAACUUUGGCAGCUACGUGACUCAUGAGACCAAGCACUUCAUCUACUUCUACCUCGGCCAAGUCGCUAUUCUUCUUUUCAAGUCUGGUUAGAACCACAGACUGUUACGGAAACUUGCACCUGGUUACAGGACUGUGUGCUGACUCCUCUGACUAGUUACUGCAGCCUUCCUGAGGACGCAGACCUUGAUCUUCAAGGGCAAUGGCAGGGAUUAUGCUAUAGCAGAUGAUGUUACAUUGUGGAUAUAAAAAGGAAAAAUACCAAAAAA
This is a long non-coding RNA of Aptenodytes forsteri (emperor penguin), 385 nucleotides long. RefSeq lists it as uncharacterized. The record is from RefSeq and is a predicted model, not a curated record. The transcript has 2 exons. NCBI's taxonomy places the organism in Eukaryota, Metazoa, Chordata, Aves, Sphenisciformes, Spheniscidae.